Molecule: small nucleolar RNA, 131 nt
Organism: Nannospalax galili (Upper Galilee mountains blind mole rat)
Lineage: Eukaryota; Metazoa; Chordata; Mammalia; Rodentia; Spalacidae
Source: Ensembl
AAGCCAGCCAACUGAUCUGCUUAUCUGACUGUGUGUCUACAGAGAGCUAGAAAAGCUGGGAAUAGUAAAGCCAUGCUAUGAGCCCUAAGGAUACCUAUAGUCAUUAAGAAUGCCUGAGAAUGCCUAUAUAC